AGAGGUAAGAGGUACUACAGGGGUAGGAGUGGAAAUCUUGUAAUCCCUGUGGGACCACCUGUGGCGAAAGCGUCUUACCAGAACGGGUUCGACGGUGAGGGACGAAAGCUGGGGGGCACGAACCGGAUUAGAUACCCGGGUAGUCCCAGCCGUAAACGAUGCUCGGCUAGGUGUCCAGGCAUGGCGCGACCGUGUCUGGUGCCGCAGGGAAGCCGUGAAGCGAGCCACCUGGGAAGUACGGCCGCAAGGCUGAAACUUAAAGGAAUUGGCGGGGAGCACAACAACGGGUGGGAAGCCUGCGGUUUAAUUGGACUCAACGCCGGACAACUCACCGGGGGCGACAGCAAUAUGUAGGCCAAGCUGAAGACUUUGCCUGAACUCGCUGAGUAGAGGUGCAUGG
RNAcentral lists this ribosomal RNA (400 nucleotides) under uncultured archaeon. Its description in RNAcentral is "bacterial SSU rRNA". It matches the Rfam family "Archaeal small subunit ribosomal RNA", at positions 604 to 997 of the family's 1478-position model. The record is from RNAcentral.